This 448-nucleotide ribosomal RNA is filed under the name uncultured bacterium. Its description in RNAcentral is "bacterial SSU rRNA". It matches the Rfam family "Bacterial small subunit ribosomal RNA", at positions 329 to 794 of the family's 1533-position model. The record is from RNAcentral.
UGCCAGACUCCUACGGGAGGCAGCAGUGGGGAAUAUUGCACAAUGGGGGAAACCCUGAUGCAGCGACGCCGCGUGAGCGAUGAAGUAUUUCGGUAUGUAAAGCUCUAUCAGCAGGGAAGAAGAUGACGGUACCUGACUAAGAAGCCCCGGCUAACUACGUGCCAGCAGCCGCGGUAAUACGUAGGGGGCAAGCGUUAUCCGGAUUUACUGGGUGUAAAGGGAGCGUAGACGGCGGCGCAAGCCAGAUGUGAAAGCCCGGGGCUCAACUCCGGGACUGCAUUUGGAACUGUGUGGCUGGAGUGUCGGAGAGGCAGGCGGAAUUCCUAGUGUAGCGGUGAAAUGCGUAGAUAUUAGGAGGAACACCAGUGGCGAAGGCGGCCUGCUGGACGAUGACUGACGUUGAGGCUCGAAAGCGUGGGGAGCAAACAGGAUUAGAUACCCCGGUACA